Panicum virgatum (switchgrass) is the source of this 1460-nucleotide long non-coding RNA. RefSeq lists it as uncharacterized. Lineage: Eukaryota; Viridiplantae; Streptophyta; Magnoliopsida; Poales; Poaceae. The transcript has 2 exons. The record is from RefSeq and is a predicted model, not a curated record.
UGUAACUGCUUUCUUUUUAAUGAAAAAUGUCAUGGUCGAUAGAAAAAAGAAAGAGAAAUAGGCCCGGAUUGGCCUCCCACCUCCCUCCACAGCCCGGAUUCUAUCCCCGCCUCAUGCUCUCCGGAUCGCAUCCGGCUGGGCGCGAGGCCGAGCCUGAGCUGGCGGUGCUAGAGGUGAUGAGGCGGCGGCGCGUCGCGAGGGGAAGCGACAGCGCAGCACGAGACGGCGGGGGCUGUUCCCAUCCAUCGUCCGCGCUCUUGACCUUCUUCUCGCCGGUAACGCAUCGCCCUCGUCUUCCUUCCCUCUUCUCUCCCUGGUUCUAAGGUUGUUGCUAGGGUUCUUGCUCCAUCCCGCCGCUCACCACGUUGACCAUGUGCCCCUCCUGCGAGAACCUCGCCACCGCCGACUAGGCCGGCCGCACGGCUCGCCCCACGCCCAUGGGCCCGUGUGCAAUCUUCAGGAUCCAUGAUCAUUAGUUAGCCUAUUCCAUGCAGAAAAUCCUCUUGUGUUUUUCUGUUCUGUAAAGUUUUGUAUUCCCUUAGCUCCAAUCCCGUUUUUUUCUGAAUCAAUGAGCAUCACUGUUCUGAAAAAAGUACGAAACCUCUAUGAAAUAUGAUGCAGAGAAAAUUCAGAGUUUCUUCUCUGCGUGAUUUCGUCCAUGGAAGUAGCUUAACUCAUUUGCAGAUGCAAAGCAAACUAAGGAUGAAGUGCUUUUUUUCUCUAAAUUGUUCUGUCGUCAAGAAAGCUCGAACAACAUUGUGUCAGUCAUCAUGCAUCGACACCGUUCUUUUAUCCUUUGCCUACUUUCUACAAAGCUAGCUACGGUUGAUGCUCAGCUACUUGCAAAGACUGAAGGAUGCUGCACCUGCGCUGAUAGGAGUUGAUUGUUUCAGACACGGGGUGGCAGGCUUCCAUGCAUCUACUAGCCUUGCUUGUUGAUUCAGGUCCUAUCUAGACACUCGCUGUCAGCACAACUCCGGUUCCUUGCCUUUUAAUCAUCUACUUGCUAUGAGGGAGUUCAUGUGCUUCUAUCAAUUGCUGUCUUUCAAUAUCUUCCUCUGCCAUGUUCUUAUUAUAUAUUUUGGUAUACCUGAAACUGGCACUGGCAUUGGCAGUGCAAUUGUUAGGUUUUCAGUACCACUAUUGCUGUGAAACCAGCAAUUGAAAUUGACACCCAAGUUACAGAUAAUAGAGUUAAGAUUUUGUACCCUACUGUUAGUGGACGGCAUUCAAGCUUCAAAGUCCAAGUUUCAAAUGUUUGAGAAUUUUUCUUUUUACUACUUAGAACUAAAUUAUAUGUAGUAUAUUAUAUGUCUGAAAACUUGUAACUAAAUAGUUGUGGAAUCAUUAUCUAGUCAUCUUGCCUGUGUCAAAUUCAGUUUUUUAUAUCAGCUCGGAAUUGCCGGAAGCUAGUGCACUGGUAUAAUAUAAUGUCUCCAAUGGACGUGAUUAAUAUUGCA